CAGAACAAGGGAGAACUUUGCGUACUGUUGAUACAUUUUAAUUAUAGCAGUUUGGAAAACAUUUCAGGAAUUCCAUAUUCAGUGCAGCAUUGGUGUAUUUUUUUGUUUCUGCUUUCUUUUGGGGGGCUGGGGAUUGCUUUUUUCUGUUAAUCUUACAUCCAGUCUUAAUUUUUUUUCAUCUAAAGAAUAAAAAUCAAAAUAAAUCACUAGCAAUAUCUUCAUUGGCCUGCUUCCAGCACUUUCUUAGAAUUGCAUCUUUCCAGAAGUCCUCAGCUGAACUGUUGAUGAGAGAAAACAGCAGCUACAUAACAGCCCACAAUUGGGAAACAGAGAGAUGGGGAGAGGAAGUGACUCCUGAAGCUGGCUACAGCCUGAGAACUAGAAGCCAAACUGCAGUGUACCUGACUCCACUAUAGCACAUUCCCAUCAGAAGUAAGAAGGAAACCUUCAAAGAAAGAAGGAAAGAGAUGGGGAAAGUUGCUAGAGAAACACAAGAGGAAAGGCUGUAAAGACGUGUAAAAACCAUGAAAUUUCUAGCCACCUACCAGAAUGAUGUUAUUUCUCCUCGCUCUGUUGAAUGACAAGAUGAAUGACUGCAAACUCAUCAUUACUCUUUGAUUCAUUUUCAUUCAAGUCACUUCACUGCACUUUCUCCAUAGGCAGAAAGCAUUCAGGGAUGGAUUCUCUUUUCAAAAUGGUAAGAAAACUAUGAGUGCUAAGCACCAUGACUAGUUCAGAUGGAGUAAUGAGAAAACUUCAUUUGGACAGCUAAUAAUGCUAAGCAAAUGCAAGUAUCUCAUCACCCAACAGUUUACUACAGUAAUCCCACUAUCUUGUUUUUAGGGAGUAUGUAUCUGUUUGCAGAUGUAACAGGACAUGUGCGACAGGUUUGGAGGCAGUCACAGAUGAUGGGAAGUUCCUCUGUCAACUGACAGAUUAAAAUGCCCUUGCAUUGGGCAAGAGUAGUAGGAGCAACUGCCCACACAGCCUUCGUGUGUGUGUUGAUUUGUAGUGUUCAGAAUCUGGACUGGAUUGAUUCAUUUUGAGAAUAACUGAUAUUUAUCUGUGCACAUAAUAAAAAUAUUCCCUGGAUUGUAUGUGCUGGAAAAGGAUAGAGAAAGAAAGACUAUUCCUACCUCGUAGAACUUAACCUCUAAAUAUAAAAGGCAGGUGAAGGUUGGGAUGGAAAACGCACAGAGUGGACCAGCCAAGAUCAGAGCAGAUUAGUGAAACUGUGAGAGUAUGUUGUGGUUUAGCCCCAGCUGGCAGCUAAGCACCACACAGCUGCUCGCUCACUCCCCCUCAGUGGGACGGGGGAGAGAAUUGGAAGGGUAAAAGUAAGAAAGCUUGUGAGUUGAGAUAAAGACAGUUUAAAAGGUAAAGCAAAAGCCGCGCGCACAAGCAAAGCAAAACAAGGAAUUCAUGCACUACUUCCCAUCAGCAUGCAGGUGUUCAGCCGUCUCCAGGAAAGCAGGGCUCUAUCACGCGUUAUGGUUACUUGGGAAGACAAACGCCAUCAUUCCGAACAUCCCCCACUUCCUUCUUCUUCUCCCAGCUUUAUAUGCUGAGCAUGACGUCAUAUGGUAUGGAAUAUCCCUUUGGUCAGUUGGGGUCAGCUGUCCUGGCUGUGUCCCCUCCCAACUCCUUGUACCCUGCCAGCCUCCUCACUGGUGUGAGAAACAGAAAAGGCCUUGACGCUGUGUAAGCGCUGCUCAGCAGUAACUAAAACAUCCCUGUGUUAUCAGCACUGUUUUCACCACAAAUCCAAAACAUAGCCCCAUAACAGCUACUGUGAAGAAAACUAACUUUACUCCAGCCAAAACCAGCACAGAGUAGAAUGAAGAUUACCUGAAUCCCAAGACUUGGAGUUGUACUGCCUAACAGCAGGCAACCAAAUUAAGCCAUCACAUCAUGUUCUCCUGCAAGUUUUUUGAGAGAAACAGGCACAUUCAGAGGGAUGUUCAACCCACCAGUGCAUGCACCACCCUCUCAAGGCAGCCAUAUCUCUCUGUUGUGUAAAGUGGGAGCUACGUACCAAGUCUGCACUUGGGCAUGCCAGUUAUAUACCUCAAGCGUAGUGUGUCCCUAAGACGUGACUAUCCCUUACACAAACAUGCACAGAAGCACACGCAGUUACAAACUUGGUGAGUAUGAGUAUGUUGAUAAUUAGCCAAGCAAUAGUUUACCAUAUUCUUCAGUCAUUGUUACUUAUGAUUUCUUACAACUGGUACAAACUGGAAGCAGGAGAAAGCUUCUAGCUCCUUCCUUUUGUUGAGAGUGAUUCCCCCCAGAAUACACCGUGGAUUUGAGCUGGGUGAUUUUUUUCCUUCAAUCCUGCUGCUUAGAAACCCCAUUAAAUCAGAAAUAUAUUUCAUGUGUCUUUAUGCAUUGGUAAUAAAACAUUGUCUUAUAAAUUCUAAUACAGUUGUGCUGCUGGCAUAAAAGAGGAAAAAUUACCAGUAAUACCAGGAAAUCCUACCUCCCUCUAUUAAUUUCAGUUCAGCAAUACUUCACAACACAAAGGCCUGUGUACCCACAGACCCAGCAGAUGCCAGGCUAAUUGAUCCUGGGCUGAAAUAGAAGGGUGUCCUCAAAAACCAGUAAGUGGUUUUGUUCCCUUUCUGUUUUGUCCCUUAGAAAAAUGAAGUCUCUCUGGAAGAUUUAUUGAAAUCUUGAAGGAAAAAGAGAUGUUUUAUGUGUGAUAAGGUGCUUUUCCAAAGAACAUGGUUCAUUUGUUCUUGUCAACAGGAAUCUAAGAUGAAAUUACAGUGUUAAAUUAUGCAUACUUUAGAUAUAUAUUGUGUGCUAAAAAAUGUGUGCUAAAGAAAAGGGAACAGGUAUUUUUUGUUCCCUGGGAAAAGAAGUUGCACAUCAAUGU
Non-coding RNA from Phalacrocorax carbo (great cormorant), 2878 nucleotides. The record is from RefSeq and is a predicted model, not a curated record. Lineage: Eukaryota; Metazoa; Chordata; Aves; Suliformes; Phalacrocoracidae.